GACGAACGCUGGCGGCGUGCUUAACACAUGCAAGUCGAACGGAAAGGCCUCUUUCGGGGGGUACUCGAGUGGCGAACGGGUGAGUAACACGUGAGUAACCUGCCCUUGACUUUGGGAUAACUUCACGAAACUGGGGCUAAUACCGGAUAGGAGCUCCUGCUGCAUGGUGGGGGUUGGAAAGUUUCGGCGGUUGGGGAUGGACUCGCGGCUUAUCAGCUUGUUGGUGGGGUAGUGGCUUACCAAGGCUUUGACGGGUAGCCGGCCUGAGAGGGUGACCGGCCACAUUGGGACUGAGAUACGGCCCAGACUCCUACGGGAGGCAGCAGUGGGGAAUAUUGCACAAUGGGCGGAAGCCUGAUGCAGCAACGCCGUGUGCGGGAUGACGGCCUUCGGGUUGUAAACCGCUUUCGCUCAUGACGAAGCUUUGUGUGACGGUAGUGGGCAAAGAAGCACCGGCUAACUACGUG
RNAcentral lists this ribosomal RNA (467 nucleotides) under uncultured bacterium. RNAcentral describes it as "partial 16S ribosomal RNA". It matches the Rfam family "Bacterial small subunit ribosomal RNA", at positions 28 to 507 of the family's 1533-position model. The record is from RNAcentral.